Molecule: long non-coding RNA, 503 nt
Organism: Solanum tuberosum (potato)
Lineage: Eukaryota; Viridiplantae; Streptophyta; Magnoliopsida; Solanales; Solanaceae
Exons: 3
Source: RefSeq, a predicted model, not a curated record
UCCUACAAUCUCUCCAUGAAAACAGUUUUGAAUUUCAAAUAUUCUCCAUUGCGCUCUCAAUCAACCGUGGAUUCAAAAAUUUCAGUUGUUGAACGUAUACAAUGGAUGAUUACACUCCAGCAACAAGAUUGACAAAAAUUUGAUGAAAAACCAUCCUUUUCUUUGGGUCUAACUCAGGAAUUUGGGGAGGUUGCAGGUUCAAUAGCUAGAUCUAAAGCAACUGGAGAGGUUAGGAUCCAAAUAUAAGAAUGACCCAUUUAGAUCGAAAGGAAUCAGUGGAAAAGCAAAGCAAAUUGGUGUAAUGAUUGUUGAGGGAGGUAUUAAGCAUCAGGGCGAUGCUAGUUCGACAAAGAAGAGGAAAGGAAAAGAAAUUGAUCUUUCCGAUGAACAGGUAGAAUCAAUCGAAGAGGUUAUUUCUGCCGAAUUGUAGCAAGACGAACAUGAAGAAGUUCAGGCAGAGGCGUAUCCAGGAUUUCGGUUAAAUGGGUACACGAUUACGAAGA